Molecule: ribosomal RNA, 206 nt
Filed under: uncultured bacterium
Lineage: Bacteria
Description: partial 16S ribosomal RNA
Rfam family: Bacterial small subunit ribosomal RNA
Source: RNAcentral
CGUGUAGGCGGUUAGGUAAGUGGGAUGUGAAAUACUCCGGCUCACCCGGAGAACUGCAUCCCAAACUGCCUAGCUUGAGUAUGGGAGAGGAUGAGGGAAUUCCUGGUGUAGCGGUGAAAUGCGUAGAUAUCAGGAGGAACACCGGUGGCGAAAGCGCUCAUCUGGCCCAAUACUGACGCUGCAGCGCGAAAGCUAGGGAGCAAACG